UGGGGAAUUUUGGACAAUGGGCGAAAGCCUGAUCCAGCAAUGCCGCGUGUGUGAAGAAGGCCUUCGGGUUGUAAAGCACUUUUGUCCGGAAAGAAAUCCUUGGCUCUAAUACAGUCGGGGGAUGACGGUACCGGAAGAAUAAGCACCGGCUAACUACGUGCCAGCAGCCGCGGUAAUACGUAGGGUGCAAGCGUUAAUCGGAAUUACUGGGCGUAAAGCGUGCGCAGGCGGUUUGCUAAGACCGAUGUGAAAUCCCCGGGCUCAACCUGGGAACUGCGUUGGUGACUGGCAGGCUAGAGUAUGGCAGAGGGGGGUAGAAUUCCACGUGUAGCAGUGAAAUGCGUAGAGAUGUGGAGGAAUACCGAUGGCGAAGGCAGCCCCCUGGGCCAAUACUGACGCUCAUGCACGAAAGCGUGGGGAGCAAACAGGAUUAGAUACCCUGGUAGUCCACGCCCUAAACGAUGUCAACUAGUUGUUGGGGAUUCAUUUCCUUAGUAACGUAGCUAACGCGUGAAGUUGACCGCCUGGGGAGUACGGCCGCAAGAUUAAAACUUAAAUGAAUUGACGGGGUCAUAGCUGUUUCCU
This 585-nucleotide ribosomal RNA is filed under the name uncultured bacterium. RNAcentral describes it as "partial 16S ribosomal RNA". It matches the Rfam family "Bacterial small subunit ribosomal RNA", at positions 355 to 1375 of the family's 1533-position model. The record is from RNAcentral.